CAGUCGCCACGGGAAAACGUAGGGUGCAAGCGUUAAUCGGAAUUACUGGGCGUAAAGCGUGCGCAGGCGGUUCGGAAAGAAAGAUGUGAAAUCCCAGAGCUUAACUUUGGGACUGCAUUUUUAACUACCGAGCUAGAGUGUGUCAGAGGGGGGUAGAAUUCCACGUGUAGCAGUGAAAUGCGUAGAUAUGUGGAGGAAUACCGAUGGCGAAGACAGCCCCCUGGGAUAACACUGACGCUCAUGCACGAAAGCGUGGGGAGCAAACAGGAUUAGAUACCCCCGUAGUCCCUGUCUCUUAUAC
This 301-nucleotide ribosomal RNA is filed under the name uncultured bacterium. RNAcentral's name for it is "partial 16S ribosomal RNA". It matches the Rfam family "Bacterial small subunit ribosomal RNA", at positions 509 to 807 of the family's 1533-position model. The record is from RNAcentral.